RNAcentral lists this ribosomal RNA (497 nucleotides) under uncultured bacterium. Its description in RNAcentral is "partial 16S ribosomal RNA". It matches the Rfam family "Bacterial small subunit ribosomal RNA", at positions 28 to 507 of the family's 1533-position model. The record is from RNAcentral.
GAUGAACGCUGGCGGUGUGCCUAAUACAUGCAAGUCGAGCGAACGGACGAGAAGCUUGCUUCUCUGAUGUUACCGGCGGACGGGUGAGUAACACGUGGAUAACCUACCUAUAAGACUGGGAUAACUUCGGGAAACCGGAGCUAAUACCGGAUAAUAUUUUGAACCGCAUGGUUCAAAAGUGAAAGACGGUCUUGCUGUCACUUAUAGAUGGAUCCGCGCUGCAUUAGCUAGUUGGUAAGGUAACGGCUUACCAAGGCAACGAUGCAUAGCCGACCUGAGAGGGUGAUCGGCCACACUGGAACUGAGACACGGUCCAGACUCCUACGGGAGGCAGCAGUAGGGAAUCUUCCGCAAUGGGCGAAAGCCUGACGGAGCAACGCCGCGUGAGUGAUGAAGGUCUUCGGAUCGUAAAACUCUGUUAUUAGGGAAGAACAUAUGUGUAAGUAACUGUGCACAUCUUGACGGUACCUAAUCAGAAAGCCACGGCUAACUACGUG